UGGGGAAUCUUGCGCAAUGGGCGAAAGCCUGACGCAGCGACGCCGCGUGAGCGAUGAAGGCCUUCGGGUUGUAAAGCUCUGUGGGGAGGAAAGAAUAAGUGCGGGCUAAUCACCGCAUGAUGACGGUACCUCCUUAGCAAGCACCGGCUAACUCUGUGCCAGCAGCCGCGGUAAGACAGAGGGUGCAAACGUUGUUCGGAAUCACUGGGCGUAAAGCGCGUGUAGGCGGUCAUUCAAGUCGGAUGUGAAAUCCCGUGGCUCAACCACGGAAGAGCACCCGAAACUGAGAGACUAGAGUCCUGGAGAGGAAGGCGGAAUGCUUGGUGUAGAGGUGAAAUUCGUAGAUAUCAAGCGGAACACCGGUGGCGAAGGCGGCCUUCUGGACAGUGACUGACGCUGA
This 400-nucleotide ribosomal RNA is filed under the name uncultured bacterium. RNAcentral's name for it is "bacterial SSU rRNA". It matches the Rfam family "Bacterial small subunit ribosomal RNA", at positions 355 to 749 of the family's 1533-position model. The record is from RNAcentral.